RNAcentral lists this ribosomal RNA (301 nucleotides) under uncultured bacterium. RNAcentral's name for it is "partial 16S ribosomal RNA". It matches the Rfam family "Bacterial small subunit ribosomal RNA", at positions 509 to 809 of the family's 1533-position model. The record is from RNAcentral.
CAGCAGCACGGUAACACUUAUGUCACAAGCGUUAUCCGGAUUUAUUGGGCGUAAAGCGCGUCUAGGCGGUUAAUUAAGUCUGAUGUGAAAAUGCGGAGCUCAACUCCGUAUUGCGUUGGAAACUGGUUAACUAGAGUACUGGAGAGGUAAGCGGAACUACAAGUGUAGAGGUGAAAUUCGUAGAUAUUUGUAGGAAUGCCGAUGGGGAAGCCAGCUUACUGGACAGAUACUGACGCUAAAGCGCGAAAGCGUGGGUAGCAAACAGGAUUAGAUACCCGAGUAGUCCCUGUCUCUUAUACAA